AUACGUAGGGAGCAAGCGUUAUCCGGAUUUAUUGGGCGUAAAGCGCGCGUAGGCGGCUUGUUAAGUCAGGUGUUAAAGGCAAGGGCUCAACCCCUGUUCGCACCUGAAACUGGCAGGCUUGCGUUUGGUAGAGGAAAACGGAAUUCCCAGUGUAGAGGGGAAAUGCGCAGAUAUUGGGAAGAACACCAAUCGCGAAGGCAGCAUACGAGGCAUCAUCUGACGCUGAUGCACGAAAGCGUGGGGAUCAAACAGGAUUAGAUACCCUGGUAGUCCACGCUGUAAACUAUGAUAACUAUCUUUUAGCGAUACACAGUUAGAGGGUACGAGAAAUCAUUAAGUUAUCCACCUGGGGAUUACGUUCGCAAGAAUGAAACUCAAAUGAAUUGACGGGG
RNAcentral lists this ribosomal RNA (392 nucleotides) under uncultured bacterium. Its description in RNAcentral is "partial 16S ribosomal RNA". It matches the Rfam family "Bacterial small subunit ribosomal RNA", at positions 523 to 918 of the family's 1533-position model. The record is from RNAcentral.